RNAcentral lists this long non-coding RNA (2011 nucleotides) under Homo sapiens (human). Its description in RNAcentral is "non-protein coding lnc-PKD1L3-1:1". The record is from RNAcentral. Lineage: Eukaryota; Metazoa; Chordata; Mammalia; Primates; Hominidae.
CACUGCUUCCUUAAGAACCAACAUUCUUUAGGGAUUGGGGGCAAAGUUUUUUUAAAGGAAUAUAAUGUCCAAGUUAUUUUGUUAUAAUAGUCUGAUCUGUAUUUCCAGUCUUCCAUCUAGUAUUUUAUAUUAAGAUCAUGCCCCCACACACAUCUACUGUAUGUUUCCUUAAGUUCUAGAUUCAGGAAAACUAAAUUACAAAAAAAUCAAAAUAGUGCUCUGACUCUGGAGGGAAGGGCAGAGUUGACUGGCAACAAGGGAACUUUGAGGUAAGAGUAAUGUUGUAUACCUUGAUCAGAGAGUGGAAUUGUCUGUGUAUACACUUAAAAUGUAUGGGUUUGCCGGGCGUGGUGGCUCACGCCUGUAAUCCCAGCACUUUGGGAGGCCGAUGUGGGCAGAUCACAAGGUCAGGAGAUCAAGACCAUCCUGGCUAACAUGGUGAAACCCCAUCUCUACUAAAAAUACAAAAAAAAAUUAGCCAGGCGUGGUGGGGGAUGCCUGUAGUCCCAGCUACUUGGGAGGUUGAGGCAGGAGAAUGGCGUGAACCCGGGAGGUGGAGCUUGCAAUGAGCCGAGAUCACGCCACUGCAUUCCAGCCUGGGUGACAGAGCAAGACUGCCUAAAAAAAAAAAAAACUAUGAGUUUUUUUAAAAUGUAAAUUGUAUCUCCAUAAGACAACUGUCUAAUAUUAUUUAUAUUCUUUUUAGACAAAGUCUCACUCUGUCGCCCAGGCUGGAGUGCAAUGGCAUAAUCUUGGUUCACUACAACCUCCGCUUCCCGGGUUCAAGAGAUUCUUCUGCCUCAGCUUCCCGAGUAGCUGGGAUUACAGGCGCCUGCCACCACACCCAGCUAAUUUGUGUAUUUUUAGUAGAGACAGGGUUUCACCAUGUUGACCAGCCUGGUCUUGAACACCUGACCUCAGGUGAUCUGCCCACCUAGGCCUCCCAAGGUGCUGGGAUUACAGGGGUGAGCCACCGCACCCGGCCUCUAAUUUUAAAAGUAUUCUUCCCUCUGGUUUUUGCUGGUAGGUAUUAUCUUAAUUUUUGUUUUUUAAGACAGGGUCUCACUUUUGUCCCCCAGGCUGGAGUACAAUGAUCACUCACUGUAAUCUUGAACUCCUGGGCUAAGAACGCCUCUUGAGUAGCUGUGACCACAAGUCCAUACCACCAAGCUCAGAUGGGUUUUUUAAAAAUUUUUUGUGGAAACAAGGAUCUUGCCCAGGCUGUUCUCAAACUCCUGGCCUCAAGUGAUCCUCCUGCCUCAGCUUCCCAAAGUGCUUGGAUUACAAAUGUGAAUCACCACACCUGGCCAGUACUUUUUUAAUUGAGUGGUAGCUACAUGAACAUGAUUGCUUUACAAAAUUCACUGAGCUGGCCGGGCACGGUGGCUCAUGCCUGUAAUCUCAGCACUUUGGGAGGCUGAGGUGGGAGGAUGAUCAGUUGAGCCCAGGAAGCCGAGGCUGCAGUGAGGCAAGAUCGUGCCACUGCACUCCAGCCUGGGUGACAGAUCAAGACCGUCUCAAAUAAUAAAUUAAAGGAUGACUAGGAGUUAACUAAAUAGGGAAGGAAGCACAUUCCAGGAAAAGAAAACAGCAGUGCAAAGGCCUCUGGCAGAAACAAACAUGGUCAGUUCUCAAGCCUGCAAUCAGCCAGUGAGCCUCUAGUGCAGAGGCCAAGGAGUGUGGUAAGAAAUGAAAAAGGGAAGUGGGAGCCAGACAAUGCAGGACCAUGUAGGCUGUAUCAGGGAGUUUUGUUUCUAUCACAAGAGCAACAGAAAGCUACUAAUGGGCUUUAAAGCAAGAGGUCGUGACAGGAUCGGAGCUGUGUUUUGGACAAAACCCUCAGGUGGUUCUGAUGGAAUGGUGUGAAUAGAUUAAAAGAAGCCAAAGUAGGAAUAGGAAGAAUAUUCAAGAAGCUACUCUCAUUUCCAGACAGGAAACGACAGUAGCAUUGGACCAGAGUGGUCCCAACAUUCCAGAAGCCCAGUAGGAGAGUUCUCACUGUUCAUUAUGA